CAAGUUCUAGAAAUGAGCCUCUGCGUGCUGAUGUUUGACGUUUCAUCAGAACAGAUGUUUGGAUUGUAAAAGGCUCAUCUGUUGUCUUUCAUCGUGUUUCAGUGCACACAGAGGACACCUACUAUUCUGAGGUCCAGGAAACAUACAGUGUCGUCUCAAAGUUCAACGUCGGUGAGAGACAUGAACCACACAAGGCCGACUGUAACAGGAAGCAGGCGUCUCGCUCUGUGUGGGGGCUGACCCCAUGUCCUCCCUGUCCCACACAUGCAUGGACUCCUGACUGAAGAAGGACACUGAGAAGGUUCCUUCGACACACGCAGCUGUUCCAUUGAAGCAUUUUGUAAAACGUCCACUAAACUGUUUUUAAACCGUUGCAUCUCCAAUC
Long non-coding RNA from Pungitius pungitius (ninespine stickleback), 385 nucleotides. RefSeq lists it as uncharacterized. The record is from RefSeq and is a predicted model, not a curated record. Lineage: Eukaryota; Metazoa; Chordata; Actinopteri; Perciformes; Gasterosteidae. The transcript has 3 exons.